RNAcentral lists this ribosomal RNA (868 nucleotides) under uncultured bacterium. Its description in RNAcentral is "bacterial SSU rRNA". It matches the Rfam family "Bacterial small subunit ribosomal RNA", at positions 9 to 872 of the family's 1533-position model. The record is from RNAcentral.
GAGUUUGAUUAUGGCUCANCAUUUAACGCUGGCGGCAGGCCUAACACAUGCAAGUCGGACGGUAACAGGAUUAGCUUGCUAAUUGCUGACGAGUGGCGGACGGGUGAGUAAUACUUAGGGAUCUGCCUUUGUGAGGGGGAUAACCAUUGGAAACGAUGGCUAAUACCGCAUAAUGCCUACGGACCAAAGGGGGCUUUUAGCUCUCGCACGAAGAGGAACCUAAGCGAGAUUAGCUAGUUGGUGGGGUAAAGGCUCACCAAGGCGACGAUCUCUAGCUGUUCUGAGAGGAAGAUCAGCCACACUGGGACUGAGACACGGCCCAGACUCCUACGGGAGGCAGCAGUGGGGAAUAUUGCACAAUGGGGGAAACCCUGAUGCAGCCAUGCCGCGUGUGUGAAGAAGGCCUUCGGGUUGUAAAGCACUUUCAGUCGUGAGGAAAGGUUGGUAGUUAAUACCUGCCAACUAUGACGUUAGCGACAGAAGAAGCACCGGCUAACUCCGUGCCAGCAGCCGCGGUAAUACGGAGGGUGCGAGCGUUAAUCGGAAUUACUGGGCGUAAAGCGCACGCAGGCGGUUUGUUAAGCUAGAUGUGAAAGCCCCGGGCUCAACCUGGGAGGGUCAUUUAGAACUGGCAGACUAGAGUCUUGGAGAGGGGAGUGGAAUUCCAGGUGUAGCGGUGAAAUGCGUAGAGAUCUGGAGGAACAUCAGUGGCGAAGGCGACUCCCUGGCCAAAGACUGACGCUCAUGUGCGAAAGUGUGGGUAGCGAACAGGAUUAGAUACCCUGGUAGUCCACACCGUAAACGCUGUCUACUAGCUGUUUGUGUAUUUAAUACGUGAGUAGCGAAGCUNACGCGCUAAGUAGACCGC